RNAcentral lists this unclassified non-coding RNA (248 nucleotides) under Talaromyces oumae-annae. RNAcentral describes it as "partial contains 5.8S ribosomal RNA, internal transcribed spacer 2, and large subunit ribosomal RNA". The record is from RNAcentral. Lineage: Eukaryota; Fungi; Ascomycota; Eurotiomycetes; Eurotiales; Trichocomaceae.
CGCACAUUGCGCCCCCUGGCAUUCCGGGGGGCAUGCCUGUCCGAGCGUCAUUUCUGCCCUCAAGCACGGCUUGUGUGUUGGGUGCGGUCCCCCCGGGGACCUGCCCGAAAGGCAGCGGCGACGUCCGUCUGGUCCUCGAGCGUAUGGGGCUUUGUCACUCGCUCGGGAAGGACUGGCGGGGGUUGGUCACCACCAAAAUUUUACCACGGUUGACCUCGGAUCAGGUAGGAGUUACCCGCUGAACUUAA